Molecule: ribosomal RNA, 486 nt
Filed under: uncultured bacterium
Lineage: Bacteria
Description: bacterial SSU rRNA
Rfam family: Bacterial small subunit ribosomal RNA
Source: RNAcentral
AUGCCUAAGACAUGCAAGUCGUUACGAAGUGGCCCAUUGAUGAUUGAGUGCUUGCACAAGAUUUGAUUUGGAUUCCCACUUAGUGGCGCAAGGGUGAGUAACGCGUAGGUUAUCUGCCUUCGAGUUUUGGAAUAACAAUUAGAAAUGAUUGCUAAUGCCGGAUUAUAUUUAAGAUGAUACGUUGUCUUAAAUUAAAAGGAGCCUUUAAAGCUUCGCUUGAAGAUGAGCCUGCGUCGUAUUAGCUAGUUGGCAGGGCAACGGCCUACCAAGGCGACGAUCAGUAGCCGACCUGAGAGGGUGACCGGCCACAUUGGGACUGAGACACGGCCCAGACUCCUACGGGAGGCAGCAGUGGGGAAUAUUGCACAAUGGGGAAACCCUGAUGCAGCGACGCCGCGUGGAGGAAGAAGGUCUUCGGAUUGUAAACUCCUGUUGUUGAGGAAGAUAAUGACGGUACUCAACAAGGAAGUGACGGCUAACUACGUG